This 659-nucleotide ribosomal RNA is filed under the name Staphylococcus aureus. RNAcentral's name for it is "partial 23S ribosomal RNA". It matches the Rfam family "Bacterial large subunit ribosomal RNA", at positions 1 to 656 of the family's 2925-position model. Lineage: Bacteria; Bacillati; Bacillota; Bacilli; Caryophanales; Staphylococcaceae. The record is from RNAcentral.
GAUUAAGUUAUUAAGGGCGCACGGUGGAUGCCUUGGCACUAGAAGCCGAUGAAGGACGUUACUAACGACGAUAUGCUUUGGGGAGCUGUAAGUAAGCUUUGAUCCAGAGAUUUCCGAAUGGGGAAACCUAGCAUGAGUUAUGUCAUGUUAUCGAUAUGUGAAUACAUAGCAUAUCAGAAGGCACACCCGGAGAACUGAAACAUCUUAGUACCCGGAGGAAGAGAAAGAAAAUUCGAUUCCCUUAGUAGCGGCGAGCGAAACGGGAAGAGCCCAAACCAACAAGCUUGCUUGUUGGGGUUGUAGGACACUCUAUACGGAGUUACAAAGGACGACAUUAGACGAAUCAUCUGGAAAGAUGAAUCAAAGAAGGUAAUAAUCCUGUAGUCGAAAAUGUUGUCUCUCUUGAGUGGAUCCUGAGUACGACGGAGCACGUGAAAUUCCGUCGGAAUCUGGGAGGACCAUCUCCUAAGGCUAAAUACUCUCUAGUGACCGAUAGUGAACCAGUACCGUGAGGGAAAGGUGAAAAGCACCCCGGAAGGGGAGUGAAAUAGAACCUGAAACCGUGUGCUUACAAGUAGUCAGAGCCCGUUAAUGGGUGAUGGCGUGCCUUUUGUAGAAUGAACCGGCGAGUUACGAUUUGAUGCAAGGUUAAGCAGUAA